GACGAACGCUGGCGGCGUGCUUAACACAUGCAAGUCGAACGGAAAGGCCCUGCUUUUGUGGGGUGCUCGAGUGGCGAACGGGUGAGUAACACGUGAAUAACCUGCCCUUGACUUUGGGGUAACUUCAGGAAACUGGGGCUCAUACCGGAUAGGAGCUCCUGCUGCAUGGUGGGGGUUGGAAAGUUUCGGCGGUUGGGGAUGGACUCGCGGCUUAUCAGCUUGUUGGUGGGGUAGUGGCUUACCAAGGCUUUGACGGGUAGCCGGCCUGAGAGGGUGACCGGCCACAUUGGGACUGAGAUACGGCCCAGACUCCUACGGGAGGCAGCAGUGGGGAAUAUUGCACAAUGGGCGGAAGCCUGAUGCAGCAACGCCGCGUGCGGGAUGACGGCCUUCGGGUUGUAAACCGCUUUCGCCUGUGACGAAGCGUGAGUGACGGUAAUGGGUAAAGAAGCACCGGCUAACUACGU
This 467-nucleotide ribosomal RNA is filed under the name uncultured bacterium. RNAcentral describes it as "partial 16S ribosomal RNA". It matches the Rfam family "Bacterial small subunit ribosomal RNA", at positions 28 to 506 of the family's 1533-position model. The record is from RNAcentral.